RNAcentral lists this ribosomal RNA (253 nucleotides) under uncultured bacterium. Its description in RNAcentral is "partial 16S ribosomal RNA". It matches the Rfam family "Bacterial small subunit ribosomal RNA", at positions 524 to 776 of the family's 1533-position model. The record is from RNAcentral.
UACGUAGGGUGCAAGCGUUGUCCGGAAUUAUUGGGCGUAAAGAGCUCGUAGGCGGUUUGUCGCGUCUGCUGUGAAAGCCCGAGGCUCAACCUCGGGCCUGCAGUGGGUACGGGCAGACUAGAGUGCGGUAGGGGAGAUUGGAAUUCCUGGUGUAGCGGUGGAAUGCGCAGAUAUCAGGAGGAACACCGAUGGCGAAGGCAGAUCUCUGGGCCGUAACUGACGCUGAGGCACGAAGGCCAGGGGAGCAAACGGG